AAAUGAAUCAUUUGGGAACCUCAUUAGAAAGAAGAUUCUGAAUCUGUACAUUGGGGAUGUGGCCCAAGAAUUCACAUUUCUAGAAAGUUCACAGAUAAUGCUUGU
Molecule: microRNA precursor, 105 nt
Filed under: Marmota monax (woodchuck)
Lineage: Eukaryota; Metazoa; Chordata; Mammalia; Rodentia; Sciuridae
Source: RNAcentral